CACACUUUCUUCCAAACUUUCAUAUUUGGGGCUGAAGUGCUCUCCUAUUGAAAGAGAUCAACAAACUGAUCAAAUAAUCUCUUAGACAGAUUGUUUUGGGUUAUUUCUUUAAAAAAUCAUAUGUAAGGAUAAUUAUUUUCUCAAAAAUUGCUAAAUAUUUUAGAUUGUGAGAUGCAUUUUUACGUGCAAUUGCAGCUGACUAUGCUCCCCUCAUCCAUAUUCUGAACACUAAAGAAAAAGCAAAUCUGAGCUCCAAAAGCUGUUUCAUUUGCUAAUGAGUAUCACCUUAUUAAGCAUGCAAAGGGGAAUUUUGUCAGCUGAGAAAUGUUGUGUGUUUUGAUAGUUCAGAAUACAGGUGACAUACUUCUACCUUUCACCUGUUCCACCUAAGCACUGGGAUGUGACCACAAAAAUGAUCCAAAGGACAGUCUGGGGCUGUUCAGCCUGGAGAAGAGAAGGCUCUGGGGAGGCCUGAGAGUGGCCUUUCACUAUCUAAAAGGGGGGAUGUAAGAUAGAAGGGGACUGACUUUUUGGAAGAGUCUGUCAUGAUAGGACAGAAAGAAACAAUUUCAAAGAAAAAGAGGGGAGAUUUAGAUUGGUUGUAAAGAGAAAGUUUUUUUACAGUAAGGGGAGUGAGGCACUGGCACAGGUUGCCCAGAGAGCCCGAUCCCUGUAGACAUUCAAGGUCAUCAGGCUGGAUGGGGCUCUGAGCACCUGCUCUAGCUGUAGGUGUCCCUGUUUGUUUCAGGGGGUUGGACUAGAUGGCCUUUAAAGGUUCCUUCCAACUCAAUGAUUUCAUGAUUCUCUGAUUCUAUGUCUGCUAUGUGACUUUUGAUCUCUAACACACCCUGUAUGUCUCUACAUCUUUCGCAUCAUUUGAACGUUCCACUUUUAUUUUCAGUUAAUCCCUUGCUAGUUUUGAGGGUGUUCCUGAGGACUGAUCAUUUUUCCCUUCUUCUCAUUCAUCAGAUGAGACAGAAGUUCUUACUUUGUCAUCUGUAACAUGUACUUUUCUCAGCUUGUGUUUGUGUGUAUAGUUUGGAGUUCAUGGAAAAAACAAAUUCCAUUAUGAUGUACUUUCUCUUAUCCAUUAUGUUCUUUCAGCAGCCAAGAAACCAUUAUUUAUACAGCAGUUAUUUUGGAAAAAAUGCAUUCCCAGAAUUCUGACACAGGAUUACAACACUUUUAUGUGUUAAGGAUAAAAGAUAAUCACCUAACAGAGGAUUUAUCUUUCGAAAUGGACUGAAUUAAAAGACCAAGGAGGACAUCUUUCUACCAGCAAAUCCAGUGCCAAUCCAAAAUAAAUCUCCUGAAUCCACUGGAAUCAUUUGGGAUUUACACCGUGGUGUACAGGGAACGGCGCUUCAUUGAUGGCUGGGCAGAAGCAGCCCUCAUACUGUGCUGCAAGGAGCACAGACAAAAGAGGGGAGCCAGCAGGGUCUGCUCUAUGCCCAUAGUCAGGAUGAGAAAAGGAAGCAGAUCUCCGCACUGUAUAUCCUGCUUAAGGAAAGUACAGCAACAGAAAAAUCCCCUACUAAACUGCAUGAAAAUAAAACUAUGAAUAGACUUGAAAUAUUUGGAUGCAAGUUUGGUUUCAUAUUUUACUUUCUGCAGUCUGGCUGUAAAAUGACAUCAGCAGUCAGCUCACAGCUUUAUAGCUGUGCAUUUGUCACUAUGCCUAGAGGUGUGAGGGGUGGUUGUCUGCCCACCUUCCCAGGGCACCUUCUCAGUGAUUCAGACCAUAAGGUUCAGUUCUUGUGACUGAGGAAAAAUAGGGCAUCACAUCCAAAAAACUUCUGCUCUGAGAAAGAGUCUGGCAGAUCAUAGUAACAGAAAGAAAAAAUUGCAGUGAUCUAAUAUUCCUAUUAUGUUACGAUUAUCUGCAGAGCUCUGGCUCUGCAGUCUUUCUCUCUUUCUCUUGUUCUAAUCCAUGUAGGCAUUUCUAUUAUGCCUGUCACCAUAGCAUCUGAAUGCCUUCCAAGCAAGAGGAAAUACUACCUCCUUUUUUUUUGCCAUCAGCAAAAUACGAACAUUAUCUGAGCUAGAAUGGGGUCUCCUGCAACUGUCAGCAUGCCAAGAAGGAGUACAUGGCAACUUAUUUCAGAUACAGCACCUCAUUCUCCAGUCUUUUUUCUGUUCCAUUUAUGUACUGCAUUGGGUCUUUCUGUGACAAGAACAAGUUGAUGACUGUGGUAUUAAUAGGAUGUUUAUAUAAUGAAUAGUUCUUUAACUAUAGCAACAAGUUUAAGUAUGCAGUAGCAACUCAAGAAGUGCUUGUGAUAAACUGGAUAACUCCUCCCAGAAGAACAACAGUCACCUGCUUUAUUUAUAUUGCAAAGGGUAGUUAAAUGUAAGAUACUGCUUGCAUUACUGUGUCUGUCUUCUAUAUGGUUUUGUCAUACAGUCUCUGUGGAAAGACAGACCUACUCUAAGUCAGAAAAUAAUCACAAGUCACUGUGUGAUAGAUGCUUUAGUCAUGCUUUGUACAAUUUAAAUCUCAUGAAAAGAUGCUCAAAUUGUAAGUUGUUCUGUCUUGACAGGACUUUAAUUAGUUUCAAAUCAGUCAGCUCCUGUUCAGCUAUUGACCAGGGAAGUAGACUUGAGUCCUCUCACCUCCAUUCAAUGUUUCAAAAUGAAUGAACCUUGUGACAAUGCUUUGUUUGCAUUUUCACUGCAUAGAGAGAGAGGCAGGGAGGUAACGUGUAAAGGUCUUUAGAAUUUUAAAAAUAUUUAUUUUAUCUUCAUUCUUCAUAUUAGUAAUUCGAACUGUUGUACAUAUACUUCAAGAAUGAGACAGGAAGAAUAUUGUUCACUUCUUUCUUUCUCUCUCUUUUUUUUAAUUUUCAGAAGAGUCCUCUGAAACCUUAUUUGCAUUGAAAAUACUUAUUGAAAAGCUGAGCCUCAUGUCUGGGUUCCUGUUCUACUCAGAGGAUGUAAUUUUGCUUUGUAAAUUGGUCUCUCAUCUUGAAUGAGCAAAUAAGCAUCCUGGUGGAUGCCAAUUAGAUGAACUUUUGUAUCCCAAGUAGAACUGCUGAGAGCAAUUUUGAUGGACUGAUUUUGCAUUUGAAUAUGCUUUCAACUGGAUCUAAAACACAUUUUAAAAUCAGAUUGACCUCUCUAGAGUUUUUCUGAAGAAAAAAUUCCAGUUGUGUUCAGACAUUUUAUUUGGACAGUUUCAGAGGAAGACAUUUUGAUUUUUGUUUAGUUCCUAAGGCUUUUUUUUGUUCACAGCCCAAACGCCACAACUUAAAAAGUCAGUGUGAAAAUAUUUCAAUUUUGCUAAAAGUAAACAUUGAGAAUGACUGCAUGUAUGUUGUUUGCCUGCUUUUGAGUUUUAUCUUCAAGGAAAAGUCUGGAACACUGAUUCUUAUCAGAAUAAAG
Molecule: long non-coding RNA, 3381 nt
Organism: Gallus gallus (chicken)
Lineage: Eukaryota; Metazoa; Chordata; Aves; Galliformes; Phasianidae
Source: Ensembl